UGCUUGCUCUACCGGGAUUUAAAAUGUUAGCUUCCUAAAGUGUCUGCAAUAGCCUAGCAAACUACUGAAGCUUCAUAUGAUCCUGUACCAGAUGUGGGGAAAAGGUCGCUUGAAAAUGCUGGCCUGAUUGCUUUCUAUCGCAUCUGUUCUAGUACAUGUAACGUAGACAGUCUGUGGAGGGGGAACUGGUACUGUGAGGCCAUUCAGAUGGACGCCUCGUCUUCAAGGAUUUUUUUUUUCCAAAGUCUGUAGCACCGGGGGAAUGUGAUACUUAUGAAGACUAGAUUUCCUUUGAAUGCUUCUUGGCCCAGAUGAUGAACAUUUGCUAAUGGAAUGGUUGGCACAAGCGGAAAACAAAAAUUGAAAAACCAGAUGCUAUGUAUGUAGAUACCGUGACAAAAAUUGUUGGCAUUGUUGUAGUAUCUACAACGGUCUGCUGCAUGAUGCGAGGAGGACGUGUUGCUCCGCAUCUUCGUGUUUGCACGUGGCUGCUGCAGCUAGAUGUUGUGAAUUUGUUCUCGACUGUUGCAGUGAUACAGUGCCUUUGUGUAUCGAGGAAAUGGCUGAGGCGGUCUGCCUAGGUGAUGGAAGAUCCUGUACUGGGCCUGGAGAGUGUGACAGUGGGGAUG
This is a non-coding RNA of Procambarus clarkii (red swamp crayfish), 629 nucleotides long. Lineage: Eukaryota; Metazoa; Arthropoda; Malacostraca; Decapoda; Cambaridae. The record is from RefSeq and is a predicted model, not a curated record.